CAGCAGGCGCGCAAAUUACCCACUCCCAGCACGGGGAGGUAGUGACGAAAAAUAACAAUACGGGACUCUUUUGAGACCCCGUAAAUGGAAUGAGUACACUCUAAAUCCUUUAACGAGGAUCCAUUGGAGAGAAAGUCUGGUGCCAGCAGUCGCGGUAAUUCCAGCUCCAAUAGCGUAUAUUAAAGUUGUUGCGGUUAAAAAGCUCGUAGUUGGAUCUCAGCUCCGGCCGGACGGUCCGCCUACCGGUGGUCACUGUUCGCUGCCGAGCGUUCAGGGGGCCGUCGCCGAUGAUCUUCAUCGGUUGUCGGCGGUGACCCUCACGUUUACUUUGAAAAAAUUAGAGUGCUCAAAGCAGGCGCGACGCCUGAAUAAUUGUGCAUGGAAUAAUGGAAUAGGACCUCGGUUCUAUUUUGUUGGUUUUCGGAACACGAGGUAAUGAUUAAGAGGGACAGACGGGGGCAUUCGUAUUGCGACGCUAGAGGUGAAAUUCUUGGACCGUCGCAAGACGAACUACUGCGAAAGCAUUUGCCAAGAAUGUUUCCAUUAAUCAAGAACGAAAGUUAGAGGUUCGAAGGCGAUCAGAUACCGCCCUAGUUCUAACCAUAAACGAUGCCAGCCAGCGAUCCGGCUGCGUUCCUCAAAUGACGCGCCGGGCAGCUUCCGGGAAACCAAAGCUUUUGGGUUCCGGGGGAAGUAUGGUUGCAAAGCUGAAACUUAAAGGAAUUGACGGAAGGGCACCACCAGAAAUGGAGCCUGCGGCUUAAUUUGACUCAACACGGGAAAACUUACCCGGCCCGGACACAGGAAGGAUUGACAGAUUAAGAGCUCUUUCUUGAUUCUGUGGGUGGUGGUGCAUGGCCGUUCUUAGUUGGUG
RNAcentral lists this ribosomal RNA (874 nucleotides) under Gea spinipes. RNAcentral's name for it is "SSU rRNA". It matches the Rfam family "Eukaryotic small subunit ribosomal RNA", at positions 426 to 1303 of the family's 1831-position model. Lineage: Eukaryota; Metazoa; Arthropoda; Arachnida; Araneae; Araneidae. The record is from RNAcentral.